Long non-coding RNA from Corvus hawaiiensis (hawaiian crow), 1845 nucleotides. RefSeq lists it as uncharacterized. The transcript has 3 exons. Lineage: Eukaryota; Metazoa; Chordata; Aves; Passeriformes; Corvidae. The record is from RefSeq and is a predicted model, not a curated record.
CCCACUUGGCUAGCAAGCUCAGGCAAGAUCCAGCCAAAAACAGUAUAGGCACAACAAGUUUCAACAAAAAUAUUUGUUGCAAGAACACUCUUUGAUUCAUUUGCUCUUCCUUGGCUGAACCUCGACUACACCCAUCCUGAUGCACAUUUGUGGAGUGCCGUUGCCGUGUCAGAGGAUCCAAGUUCAAUUUCUGCAUACCCUAGUGAUUUCUUCUGGCUUUGAACACUAUCCAGGUGGCUGCACAAGGGGCUACAGAAAUUACAGGGAGAUGGCAGAGUUGGUGAGAGUACUUGCCUGAGAAGCAAAGAAAGGGGAAAUACCCACAUUCUACCAGCCCGUCCCCAUCCAAUCUGCCCACAAUAUGCUGUUGUAAAGAGUUUGCAGUGAAGCUGGGGAUUUGGCACUAACAUGGUGUGGAAUAGUCAUCAGAUAUUUAAAACAGAGCUGAGAAAACAAAGAAGGGCUUUGUAAUGCAAGGCAGCACUGAAAACCCUGAACUUCUGCCAGCCAGCUUGCACGGAGUGUUUGCUAAUGUACACAGUGGAGUGCAUUCCUCGCAUUUGAUUACAUGACAGUUUUAUAUACCAGGUAUAUGCAGAGGGUUUUUCUUAACUCUUUAAGUCCUCCAUCGUUUAUAAAUCCUAAAGGGGCUCACAGUGGUUCCACUUCUGCUGUCUUGCACAUGUAUGCAACUUCAGGCACGGAAGGCUGAGCAUGUGCUGCUGUGUGCAACUGCUUGUCAAUCUUUUUGACUUGAGUAGCAUCACCCUGUGAAGUGGCAGAACUCCAGAGUCAUCUAAUGAACCUCUGAAAUCCACCACUGCUUAACAGGGGGCCAAGAUUUCAAGACCUUAAAGGAGUCCCAUUGGAAUCACUAAUAGCAUCUUCAGCAACUGCAACACUAUCGUGGUGACACAUAUCCACAGCGGCUCUUGGCAGGUUCAGACAAGAAACAGGAAGAUUUGUAUCACUUUGUUGCUGCAUAUGUUACUGUGAGAUCCAAGUCCUUGCUGGGUCAGAAAUAACAUGGUGUAUUAAGGGUUUAAGAUUAAUUAUGAAGAUUUAAACUUCUGUUUUGACCGUAAGCCGUGAAUGGAAAUGGGCUACAGAAAAAAUAAGUUUGAUGAUUCUGGAUCAUGGAGUAAUAGAACUUCUUAAUCACGGAAAAAAAAUAUCAUUUAGGUGACAGAUGUGCUUUUAGCAUCCUUGUCAAGUAAGUCACAUCCUAACACAUUACCUUGCUUUGGGAAUCUGACAAAAAAUGACAAUAUUAGGUAAUUUAUAUUAGAGAGUCUUCGCAGGGGUCUGUGUAUUCCAUUCAUGUUGACAACUUUUACAUUAAAAGGCCAGGAAUAAUCUGCUCCAUUAAAGAAUGGAAUGAAAUAACUCUCUUCUGGUUGGUUAGCAGUCCCUUUUUCUUCUUUCUGAUGUAGCCCAGAUCUUAAUGUAAACUGACUGCUAGGUGAGAACUUUGGUGUCCAUUACCAAUACCUGAGAACUUCCUCAUGUUUUCAUCUCUGUAUAGCUAAUACAAACAUUUUUCUUCCACUGGGGAUAAAAAGCAGUAAAUACAAAAGGAAUGUCCAAACCAAUCCCCAGCUUUCAGAAAACUACACAACAUGCAGAUGACCUCCUAUUCUCACAUAUAUUUCUCUAGAUUAUAGACGAGGAGAGAUUUCAUAUGUAGGGAUGUAACUUUAACAUCAAAUACAUUCCAACUUCCUUAUCUAAUCUGACGAGCCAUUUAACAGUUUAUCUAUCAGAUCAAGUCUUUGAAUCAGUUUUGUGCCAUGGGAGUAAAAGAUGCCUAAUAUUUAAAUAAUCAUCUUUUUUGACAAAGGUGAA